This 484-nucleotide ribosomal RNA is filed under the name uncultured bacterium. RNAcentral describes it as "partial 16S ribosomal RNA". It matches the Rfam family "Bacterial small subunit ribosomal RNA", at positions 30 to 507 of the family's 1533-position model. The record is from RNAcentral.
AUUGAACGCUGGCGGCAGGCCUAACACAUGCAAGUCGAGCGGAUGAAGGGAGCUUGCUCCUGGAUUCAGCGGCGGACGGGCGAGUAAUGCCUAGGAAUCUGCCUGGUAGUGGGGGAUAACGUCCGGAAACGGGCGCUAAUACCGCAUACGUCCUGAGGGAGAAAGUGGGGGAUCUUCGGACCUCACGCUAUCAGAUGAGCCUAGGUCGGAUUAGCUAGUUGGUUGGGUAAAGGCCUACCAAGGCGACGAUCCGUAACUGGUCUGAGAGGAUGAUCAGUCACACUGGAACUGAGACACGGUCCAGACUCCUACGGGAGGCAGCAGUGGGGAAUCUUGGGCAAUGGGCGAAAGCCUGAUCCAGCCAUGCCGCGUGUGUGAAGAAGGUCUUCGGAUUGUAAAGCACUGUAAGUUGGGAGGAAGGGCAGUAAGUUAAUACCUUGCUGUUUUGACGUUACCAACAGAAUAAGCACCGGCUAACUACGUG